AGGGUCUUUAAAUGCGAGGAUGAAUCGCCCAGCUGUUUCUUCUUGUGGGCCAGCCUUGAUGGGACCUCGAAGUAAAGGGACUGGUUGGUCAAAAGGAAUCAGAGUCUUUGAUGCAGAGUACUCCUCGAGGUCGAUUGAUGGCAGUUCUAGUUGUGGUCGUUCUGGUGCUGUCAUGAUGCAGAGUACUCCUUGAGGUCAAUUGAUGGCACUUCUGGUUGCGGUCGUUCUGGUGCUGUCAUAUAGGCAGUUUUGUUUGUUCACAAUUUUGGGUCCUGAAGAGAAGAAACCAAUAUCAGGAUUAUCA
This 304-nucleotide long non-coding RNA is filed under the name Solanum tuberosum (potato). RNAcentral describes it as "long non-coding RNA (STUB_LNC011961)". Lineage: Eukaryota; Viridiplantae; Streptophyta; Magnoliopsida; Solanales; Solanaceae. The record is from RNAcentral.